This 316-nucleotide ribosomal RNA is filed under the name uncultured Azovibrio sp. RNAcentral describes it as "bacterial SSU rRNA". It matches the Rfam family "Bacterial small subunit ribosomal RNA", at positions 355 to 660 of the family's 1533-position model. Lineage: Bacteria; Pseudomonadati; Pseudomonadota; Betaproteobacteria; Rhodocyclales; Rhodocyclaceae. The record is from RNAcentral.
UGGGGAAUUUUGGACAAUGGGGGCAACCCUGAUCCAGCCAUGCCGCGUGAGUGAAGAAGGCCUUCGGGUUGUAAAGCUCUUUCGGCCGGGAAGAAAUCGUGCAGGCUAAUACCCUGUGUGGAUGACGGUACCGGAAUAAGAAGCACCGGCUAACUACGUGCCAGCAGCCGCGGUAAUACGUAGGGUGCGAGCGUUAAUCGGAAUUACUGGGCGUAAAGCGUGCGCAGGCGGUUUUGUAAGACAGGACGUGAAAUCCCCGGGCUCAACCUGGGAACUGCGUUUGUAGACUGUCAAGGCUAGAGUAUGGCAGAGGGGG